CUUGGCUUCAAGCAGACAAUAGGCCUCAUUACUUCCUAGUUUUGUUAGCUCAGUGGAGCUAAACUCAAGAGGCAUUGAGCUGCAUUGGGAGAUUUGUGAAUGGACAGCCACAGAAAGUCUGGGCAGGGCUAGAAGGGGAGGGUUUGCAAAGGCAUCAGACAAGAGAACUGCAGGUUUUGCAAGCUCUUUUUAGAGUUACCCCAAAUGGGAAAAAACAUAAUUUAAGACAUGCAAGUUUUC
Pelobates cultripes (western spadefoot toad) is the source of this 240-nucleotide non-coding RNA. The record is from the annotation of a GenBank genome assembly. Lineage: Eukaryota; Metazoa; Chordata; Amphibia; Anura; Pelobatidae.